CUGAAAGCCAGUAUCAAAAGCUUUGCUGAAGUCUAAAAAUAUUACAUCAACUGGCUUUCCUAGCUCAUAUAGGUGCAGAUGACAUGCUGGCAUGGCUUAACUGUUCAAAUGUUGCAUGACAUUGUUUGAAAGAUACGAAGGAAGCACAAGUCAUCUCAACUAGGAUGCUACAAAAGCAAAAGGACACACAACCAAGUGGCAAUUUUAAAGAAUACUUAUCCUCAGUAUUUUUCUAUUCCUGUUGAAGAAUAAUGAAAGAAAAAUAAAGGAAUAGUUAACAGUUAAA
Passer domesticus (house sparrow) is the source of this 286-nucleotide long non-coding RNA. RefSeq lists it as uncharacterized. The transcript has 3 exons. NCBI's taxonomy places the organism in Eukaryota, Metazoa, Chordata, Aves, Passeriformes, Passeridae. The record is from RefSeq and is a predicted model, not a curated record.